UUUAACAGAAGCUCUCUUUUAGGUUGAAAUGUUAGGUUUCUUUCUCUAUGAUGAAAAUGUCUUUGAUAACAUAUAUUUGCUUUUGUUUCAAUUUCAGUAUUUUGAAGUUGCAAGUGAAUUAAGAGAAAAGAAACAAAUGUCCAACACCCAAUUAGAGGGAAAAUUUCUAAGGCAGCCCCAGGUCAAAUGUUUGCCCAAAUGGAAUCUUUGGAAUCAUAGAGAUAGUCCUUUACCUCCCAGCCAGCUCCAUCAGGGAGGUGCUGAGAUCACGGUGGAGAGAAAGAAGGGGAUACAUGUGAGGAGUUAGAUCUCUUCUAUGAGAAGAACAACAGGACUGUAGAGAGAACACACAGAAGGUUGACAAGAAGCUGACAUAUGCCCUUGUUUCCAAACAGGGGAGAAAACUGCGAACUCUCCAUGAAGAACCAGCUCCUGGAGAAGAACCAAGUGUGGUGUGGUCUUGUCAGCCUGUUACCUAGCAAGAGUGACAAGAUCAUGUGGGACUCACCAGGUAAUAGAACUCUCAGCUACUUCUCCAACACCAUGUCUGCCUGCAUGCCACCAUGCUCCCUGCCGUGAUGGUAACAGACCAACCUCAGAAUGUAUAAGCAAGGCACGUGAAUGCUUUCUUUGAUAAGAGUGGCCUUGCUCAUGGUGUCUCUUCAAAGCGAUAGAACACUGACCA
Molecule: long non-coding RNA, 685 nt
Organism: Alexandromys fortis (reed vole)
Lineage: Eukaryota; Metazoa; Chordata; Mammalia; Rodentia; Cricetidae
Exons: 4
Source: RefSeq, a predicted model, not a curated record